This 497-nucleotide ribosomal RNA is filed under the name uncultured bacterium. Its description in RNAcentral is "partial 16S ribosomal RNA". It matches the Rfam family "Bacterial small subunit ribosomal RNA", at positions 28 to 507 of the family's 1533-position model. The record is from RNAcentral.
GAUGAACGCUGGCGGCGUGCCUAAUACAUGCAAGUCGAGCGAACAGACGAGGAGCUUGCUCCUCUGACGUUAGCGGCGGACGGGUGAGUAACACGUGGAUAACCUACCUAUAAGACUGGGAUAACUUCGGGAAACCGGAGCUAAUACCGGAUAAUAUAUUGAACCGCAUGGUUCAAUAGUGAAAGACGGUUUUGCUGUCACUUAUAGAUGGAUCCGCGCCGCAUUAGCUAGUUGGUAAGGUAACGGCUUACCAAGGCGACGAUGCGUAGCCGACCUGAGAGGGUGAUCGGCCACACUGGAACUGAGACACGGUCCAGACGCCUACGGGAGGCAGCAGUAGGGAAUCUUCCGCAAUGGGCGAAAGCCUGACGGAGCAACGCCGCGUGAGUGAUGAAGGUCUUCGGAUCGUAAAAUUCUGUUAUUAGGGAAGAACAAAUGUGUAAGUAACUAUGCACGUCUUGACGGUACCUAAUCAGAAAGCCACGGCUAACUACGUG